GGUUAAGCGACUAAGCGUACACGGUGGAUGCCCUGGCAGUCAGAGGCGAUGAAGGACGUGCUAAUCUGCGAUAAGCGUCGGUAAGGUGAUAUGAACCGUUAUAACCGGCGAUUUCCGAAUGGGGAAACCCAGUGUGUUUCGACACACUAUCAUUAACUGAAUCCAUAGGUUAAUGAGGCGAACCGGGGGAACUGAAACAUCUAAGUACCCCGAGGAAAAGAAAUCAACCGAGAUUCCCCCAGUAGCGGCGAGCGAACGGGGAGGAGCCCAGAGUCUGAAUCAGUGUGUGUGUUAGUGGAAGCGUCUGGAAAGGCGCGCGAUACAGGGUGACAGCCCCGUACACAAAAAUGCACAUACUGUGAGCUCGAUGAGUAGGGCGGGACACGUGGUAUCCUGUCUGAAUAUGGGGGGACCAUCCUCCAAGGCUAAAUACUCCUGACUGACCGAUAGUGAACCAGUACCGUGAGG
RNAcentral lists this ribosomal RNA (468 nucleotides) under Escherichia coli. RNAcentral describes it as "partial 23S ribosomal RNA". It matches the Rfam family "Bacterial large subunit ribosomal RNA", at positions 1 to 508 of the family's 2925-position model. Lineage: Bacteria; Pseudomonadati; Pseudomonadota; Gammaproteobacteria; Enterobacterales; Enterobacteriaceae. The record is from RNAcentral.